GCCCGCUCCGAGCAUGGGCUGCGCUGUGACCCCCCCGCGGCGGCUUGAAACGCUUCAAGGUGAUGCGAAGCAGCCURGAAAGAGGUUAUGCGGGUGCAGAGCAGGCCGGGGCAUUGCCACCCCUGGGCUCGCGGAGCGUGCGGGUUCCUUGCCUCGAGGUGGUACCUGACACCUUGAAUUACAGAACUGGCAGCACCGAAAGGAACUCACGAGUGGAAAUUCAUUCCAGGUGAUGCAAAAAAAAAGAAGAAGAAAAAAAAAAGCCUUGUGGCUUGGCAACGUGGCUUUCCCUCAAGCAUUUUGUGUUUUCAGGAAAUGUGAGAAUAGRGAAUGGUACUACCCUGCAUGUUAGAGGUGUGAGAGACUAGAAAAGAAUGAGAAGGGCCAACAGGGAUAAAAUAAAAUUCGGCUGUGUCAAAACCUCACUGGGGAAAGAUUGUAAAAUGGACUAGACACGGUUGAGUUCGAGCCUGAAAUGUUCCCCAAAGUGCAGCAGCCCCCAGAAAUAGAUUAAAAAAAAAUGCUACCAGCACGGAGUGAUGUCGAGAGGCAGCUUCUCACCUCGAGGUUCAAACCCCAAAGUCACUACUGUUGUCAGGGAUCAAACACUGYGGAAAGUCAUGGACAAAAAUAUUUCUUGCCUGAACUGUUGCGAUUUGGGUUUAAUAAGGAUUUAUGGUGUUACAGAUGAGCUGUUCAUAGGAAAUAACCUCCGAUUCCUCAUAACAGGCCCAUUCCUCAGGAUUUAAUCAUCAAACCAAGUUUGGUUUAGGUGAUGAGAGCRUCAAAGCGGUCUCAUUUGUAAGAGAAACCUUGGAUUUUAGAGGGCAAGAUUUGAUAAAUAAAUGGAGCUGCUUUGGGAGCUUAACGAAGGCCCUUGUGUGCAAGAGUCUCUGAAGCAGGACGCCCACGACCAAGCAUUUGUUUCCCCUGGGAAAAAGAAAAAGAGAAAGCAACCAUCGAGGAAAAAUGUCUUACCCUGCCCAUGGUUCUUGUGAGAGAGGUGGCUUCGAGGCGGCCUUCUGGUGAGACCCGCUUCCGGGGUGCUGCCGGGUGUCACCUGUGGGGCCCAGAGGAGCGCUCGCCUUCCGCGUCUUCCCGGGGAAUCUUUUAUCCAGGUACUUCGGGGUGAACGUUUUGGUCUCUCAGCAGAUAUCGCGGAAGCCGGGCCCAGCCCCGCGGCGCCCGGGCUCGGCGUCUCUCUGCCUCCAGCUUCCGGAGGAGGAUGCGGCUCUCCCGCCUCGCACCCAGCGCCGCUGUUUUCCCGCUUCACGGUACGAGGACACGCGGGCGGGCGCCCAGCAGCCUCGGUUUCCGCUCCACGCCACGACUCUGCGCUUACUCCUGCCCCGGUAGCGGCUGAACCGGGCCACGGGAGAGGGCUGCCUCUCCUCGGCCACCGCUCGGGAGAGUCGAGGCGACACA
Molecule: long non-coding RNA, 1425 nt
Filed under: Dromaius novaehollandiae (emu)
Lineage: Eukaryota; Metazoa; Chordata; Aves; Casuariiformes; Dromaiidae
Description: lncRNA (ENSDNVG00000017399.1)
Source: RNAcentral